GAUGAACGCUGGCGGCGUGCCUAAUACAUGCAAGUCGAGCGAACAGACGAGGAGCUUGCUCCUCUGACGUUAGCGGCGGACGGGUGAGUAACACGUGGAUAACCUACCUAUAAGACUGGGAUAACUUCGGGAAACCGGAGCUAAUACCGGAUAAUAUAUUGAACCGCAUGGUUCAAUAGUGAAAGACGGUUUUGCUGUGACUUAUAGAUGGAUCCGCGCCGCAUUAGCUAGUUGGUAAGGUAACGGCUUACCAAGGCAACGAUGCGUAGCCGACCUGAGAGGGUGAUCGGCCACACUGGAACUGAGACACGGUCCAGACUCCUACGGGAGGCAGCAGUAGGGAAUCUUCCGCAGUGGGCGAAAGCCUGACGGAGCAACGCCGCGUGAGUGAUGAAGGUCUUCGGAUCGUAAAACGCUGUUAUUAGGGAAGAACAAAUGUGUAAGUAACUAUGCACGUCUUGACGGUACCUAAUCAGAAAGCCACGGCUAACUACGU
This 496-nucleotide ribosomal RNA is filed under the name uncultured bacterium. RNAcentral describes it as "partial 16S ribosomal RNA". It matches the Rfam family "Bacterial small subunit ribosomal RNA", at positions 28 to 506 of the family's 1533-position model. The record is from RNAcentral.